RNAcentral lists this ribosomal RNA (465 nucleotides) under Vreelandella stevensii. RNAcentral's name for it is "partial 16S ribosomal RNA". It matches the Rfam family "Bacterial small subunit ribosomal RNA", at positions 338 to 795 of the family's 1533-position model. The record is from RNAcentral. Lineage: Bacteria; Pseudomonadati; Pseudomonadota; Gammaproteobacteria; Oceanospirillales; Halomonadaceae.
CCUACGGGAGGCUGUAGUGGGGAAUAUUGGACAAUGGGGGCAACCCUGAUCCAGCCAUGCCGCGUGUGUGAAGAAGGCCCUCGGGUUGUAAAGCACUUUCAGUGAGGAAGAACGCCUGGUGGUUAAUACCCAUCAGGAAAGACAUCACUCACAGAAGAAGCACCGGCUAACUCCGUGCCAGCAGCCGCGGUAAUACGGAGGGUGCGAGCGUUAAUCGGAAUUACUGGGCGUAAAGCGCGCGUAGGUGGCUUGAUAAGCCGGUUGUGAAAGCCCCGGGCUCAACCUGGGAACGGCAUCCGGAACUGUCAAGCUAGAGUGCAGGAGAGGAAGGUAGAAUUCCCGGUGUAGCGGUGAAAUGCGUAGAGAUCGGGAGGAAUACCAGUGGCGAAGGCGGCCUUCUGGACUGACACUGACACUGAGGUGCGAAAGCGUGGGUAGCAAACAGGAUUAGAUACCCGUGUAGUC